Molecule: ribosomal RNA, 305 nt
Filed under: uncultured bacterium
Lineage: Bacteria
Description: partial 16S ribosomal RNA
Rfam family: Bacterial small subunit ribosomal RNA
Source: RNAcentral
ACAGCAGUAGCCGCGGUAAUGCGUAGGGUGCGAGCGUUAAUCGGAAUUACUGGGCGUAAAGCGUGCGCAGGCGGUUAUACAAGACAGAUGUGAAAUCCCCGGGCUCAACCUGGGACCUGCAUUUGUGACUGUAUAGCUAGAGUACGGUAGAGGGGGAUGGAAUUCCGCGUGUAGCAGUGAAAUGCGUAGAUAUGCGGAGGAACACCGAUGGCGAAGGCAAUCCCCUGGACCUGUACUGACGCUCAUGCACGAAAGCGUGGGGAGCAAACAGGAUUAGAUACCCCCGUAGUCCCUGUCUCUUAUAC